UACGGAGGAUCCGAGCGUUAUCCGGAAUUAUUGGGUUUAAAGGGUGCGUAGGCGGCCCGUUAAGUCAGGGGUGAAAGACGGUGGCUCAACCAUCGCAGUGCCCUUGAUACUGUCGGGCUUGAAUGUACAUGAGGUAGGCGGAAUGUGGCAAGUAGCGGUGAAAUGCAUAGAUAUGCCACAGAACACCGAUUGCGAAGGCAGCUUACCAAGGUAUGAUUGACGCUGAGGCACGAAAGCGUGGGGAUCAAACAGGAUUAGAUACCCUGGUAGUCCACGCCCUAAACGAUGAACACUCGAUGUUGGCGAUAUACAGUCAGCGUCCAAGCGAAAGCGUUAAGUGUUCCACCUGGGGAGUACGGCCGCAAGGUUGAA
RNAcentral lists this ribosomal RNA (372 nucleotides) under uncultured bacterium. RNAcentral's name for it is "bacterial SSU rRNA". It matches the Rfam family "Bacterial small subunit ribosomal RNA", at positions 524 to 898 of the family's 1533-position model. The record is from RNAcentral.